This 451-nucleotide ribosomal RNA is filed under the name uncultured bacterium. RNAcentral's name for it is "bacterial SSU rRNA". It matches the Rfam family "Bacterial small subunit ribosomal RNA", at positions 354 to 796 of the family's 1533-position model. The record is from RNAcentral.
GUGGGGAAUAUUGGACAAUGGGGGGAACCCUGAUCCAGCCAUGCCGCGUGUGUGAAGAAGGCCUUUUGGUUGUAAAGCACUUUAAGCGAGGAGGAGGCUACCGAGAUUAAUACUCUUGGAUAGUGGACGUUACUCGCAGAAUAAGCACCGGCUAACUCUGUGCCAGCAGCCGCGGUAAUACAGAGGGUGCAAGCGUUAAUCGGAUUUACUGGGCGUAAAGCGCGCGUAGGUGGCCAAUUAAGUCAAAUGUGAAAUCCCCGAGCUUAACUUGGGAAUUGCAUUAGAUACUGGUUGGCUAGAGUAUGGGAGAGGAUGGUAGAAUUCCAGGUGUAGCGGUGAAAUGCGUAGAGAUCUGGAGGAAUACCGAUGGCGAAGGCAGCCAUCUGGCCUAAUACUGACACUGAGGUGCGAAAGCAUGGGGAGCAAACAGGAUUAGAUACCCCUGUAGUCC